CGGGCGUGCCUAACACAUGCAAGUCGAACGAAGCACCUGAACGGAUUUCUUCGGAUUGAAGUUCUUGUGACUGAGUGGCGGACGGGUGAGUAACGCGUGGGUAACCUGCCUCAUACAGGGGGAUAACAGUUAGAAAUGACUGCUAAUACCGCAUAAGCGCACAGCUUCGCAUGAAGCAGUGUGAAAAACUCCGGUGGUAUGAGAUGGACCCGCGUCAGAUUAGCUAGUUGGCAGGGUAACGGCCUACCAAGGCGACGAUCUGUAGCCGGCCUGAGAGGGUGACCGGCCACAUUGGGACUGAGAUACGGCCUAGACUCCUACGGGAGGCAGCAGUGGGGAAUAUUGCACAAUGGGCGGAAGCCUGAUGCAGCAACGCCGCGUGCGGGAUGACGGCCUUCGGGUUGUAAACCGCUUUCGCCUGUGACGAAGCGUGAGUGACGGUAAUGGGUAAAGAAGCACCGGCUAACUACGUGCCAGCAGCCGCGGUGAUACGUAGGGUGCGAGCGUUGUCCGGAUUUAUUGGGCGU
RNAcentral lists this ribosomal RNA (527 nucleotides) under uncultured bacterium. Its description in RNAcentral is "bacterial SSU rRNA". It matches the Rfam family "Bacterial small subunit ribosomal RNA", at positions 40 to 561 of the family's 1533-position model. The record is from RNAcentral.